Molecule: long non-coding RNA, 215 nt
Filed under: Erythranthe guttata (spotted monkey flower)
Lineage: Eukaryota; Viridiplantae; Streptophyta; Magnoliopsida; Lamiales; Phrymaceae
Description: long non-coding RNA (EGUT_LNC002137)
Source: RNAcentral
ACUCGUACGUUUCUUCGGUUGAGAGGUUGGACCAAAUGGGGGGUCCAUCGCACAACACCUCGGCGAUUUGAUCUCGAGUGACCGCAAGUUGCAAUUGCUCCCAAUUGAAUGGCGUCGUGUGUCGGAGGUGAUAAAAAGAGUUGAUUGCGUAGGCACACCAAUCGACCUUCUUUCCUCGAACCGUGCUCGAGUUCCGAUCCGUUGUGAGGAGGAUA